CCGCAUAAUGUUUGAACCGCUGAUUAAAACNAAGCUUUAUGUGCUGAAGAUGGUCUCGCGUCUGAUUAGCUAGUUGGUGAGGUAACGGCUCACCAAGGCGACGAUCAGUAGCCGGUCUGAGAGGAUGAACGGCCACAUUGGNACUGAGAUACGGCCCAGACUCCUACGGGAGGCAGCAGUGGGGNAUAUUGGGCAAUGGGGGNAACCCUGACCCAGCAACGCCGCGUGAAGGAAGAAGGCCUUCGGGUUGUAAACUUCUUUUAGCAGGGACGAAGGACGUGACGGUACCUGCAGAAAAAGCAACGCU
RNAcentral lists this ribosomal RNA (307 nucleotides) under uncultured bacterium. RNAcentral describes it as "partial 16S ribosomal RNA". It matches the Rfam family "Bacterial small subunit ribosomal RNA", at positions 169 to 497 of the family's 1533-position model. The record is from RNAcentral.